UUUGGUUCAUGAUCGGAAUCGAAUGAGAUUUAAAUGCUAAGAAAGACUAUGGAUUAAAUUUUGAGGGAUUGGAUCAUGUUGAAACAUUGAGAGUAAGAAAAAAAUGUUCAUUUAGAUUUUCUAAGAAAACUAACCAAAAUUUAUUUUACCCUUACAUUAUUCUAUUAGGAUCAAGGGGAGGUAAAGUGGACAAGAGAAAUAUUGUACAACUAUCGCAACAAGAAAUCACGGC
RNAcentral lists this long non-coding RNA (232 nucleotides) under Elaeis guineensis (African oil palm). RNAcentral's name for it is "long non-coding RNA (EGUI_LNC004197)". Lineage: Eukaryota; Viridiplantae; Streptophyta; Magnoliopsida; Arecales; Arecaceae. The record is from RNAcentral.